GGGGGUGACUGGCUUCGACGGGGAGCAGACCGGGCACGGGAUGCGAGCCGAGUUUCUCCGAACCUCGUAAAAAAACGGGGAAAAAAAACAACUGCCAACGAUAACAAAGUCGUUCAGUUCCGGGGCCGCGCUCCUCAGCGCAGCCUCGCUCUGGCAGCCUAAACACCUGUCACGUCUCGCCUAGCUUUCGCCGAUAGGGGUGGGAUGAGGCGUAAACCAUACCGGCUCACUCGUGAGGGUAUCUCCUGGCCUCGCGGGGACAUCCAAAGGGAGAUGGGACCCGUCCGAUCCUGCUCAGGGGAGCGGCGGGCCCGAGAUAAAACUUGAGCUACGCUCGUAGAGUUCCGGGUAGGUCCUCUUCGGACGCGGGUUCGAUUCCCGCCACCUCCACCA
RNAcentral lists this transfer-messenger RNA (393 nucleotides) under Armatimonadota bacterium. RNAcentral describes it as "Armatimonadetes bacterium (groundwater metagenome) transfer-messenger RNA". It matches the Rfam family "transfer-messenger RNA". From Rfam's summary of the family: Bacterial tmRNA, also known as 10Sa RNA or SsrA, is named for its dual tRNA and mRNA-like properties. Its role is to liberate the mRNA from a stalled ribosome. To accomplish this part of the tmRNA is used as a reading frame that ends in a translation stop signal. The record is from RNAcentral. Lineage: Bacteria; Bacillati; Armatimonadota.